This 394-nucleotide ribosomal RNA is filed under the name uncultured Pseudomonadota bacterium. Its description in RNAcentral is "bacterial SSU rRNA". It matches the Rfam family "Bacterial small subunit ribosomal RNA", at positions 975 to 1369 of the family's 1533-position model. Lineage: Bacteria; Pseudomonadati; Pseudomonadota. The record is from RNAcentral.
CCACCUUUGACAUGUACGGAAGUUUCCAGAGAUGGAUUUGUGCUCGAAAGAGAACCGUAACACAGGUGCUGCAUGGCUGUCGUCAGCUCGUGUCGUGAGAUGUUGGGUUAAGUCCCGCAACGAGCGCAACCCUUGUCAUUAGUUGCUACAUUUAGUUGGGCACUCUAAUGAGACUGCCGGUGACAAACCGGAGGAAGGUGGGGAUGACGUCAAGUCCUCAUGGCCCUUAUAGGUGGGGCUACACACGUCAUACAAUGGCUGGUACAAAGGGUUGCCAACCCGCGAGGGGGAGCUAAUCCCAUAAAACCAGUCGUAGUCCGGAUCGCAGUCUGCAACUCGACUGCGUGAAGUCGGAAUCGCUAGUAAUCGUGGAUCAGAAUGUCACGGUGAAUAC